GACGUAGGGGGCGAGCGUUGUCCGGAUUUAUUGGGCGUAAAGCGCGCGUAGGCGGCCUGUUAAGUCGGGUGUGAAAACCCGGGGCUCAACCCCGGGCCUGCAUUCGAUACUGGCAGGCUAGAGGCAGGCAGGGGAGAUCGGAAUUCCUGGUGUAGCGGUGAAAUGCGCAGAUAUCAGGAGGAACACCGGUGGCGAAGGCGGAUCUCUGGGCCUGUCCUGACGCUCAGGCGCGAAAGCGUGGGGAGCAAACAGG
This 253-nucleotide ribosomal RNA is filed under the name uncultured bacterium. Its description in RNAcentral is "partial 16S ribosomal RNA". It matches the Rfam family "Bacterial small subunit ribosomal RNA", at positions 524 to 776 of the family's 1533-position model. The record is from RNAcentral.